Molecule: long non-coding RNA, 820 nt
Organism: Dama dama (fallow deer)
Lineage: Eukaryota; Metazoa; Chordata; Mammalia; Artiodactyla; Cervidae
Exons: 2
Source: RefSeq, a predicted model, not a curated record
GCUUCCGACGGCCGUGACCCCGUGUGGGUGGGACACUGGCACGUAGUUCCUGUCUGGGGGCAGCUCUACUGUUUUCACCAGCUGUGGUGCAGGGGGCAGGAUGCGGGAAAGAAAACAGGGAAGGCAGGACCCCAGCUGAAAGGGCUUCCCUCCCCACCAAGAGACGUGAGAGUUCACGAUGGGGUCAAAGGAGCAAGGGUCCACUCUGGAACACCAUCCCCCCCCCCCUGCACCGGACCCUGAACUUAAGCAGCCAGAGGUGGAUUCUUUACCAUCUGAGACAUCCUGGAAGCCCAAGAAUACUGAAGUGGUAGCCUAUCCCUUCUCCAGCGGAUCUUCCGGACCCAAGAAUCGAACUAGACUCUCCUGCAUUGCCAGUGGUUACCAGCUGAAGAAAUGAAAGUUGCUCAGUUGUGUCCGACCAUUUGUGAUCCCAUGGACUUUACUGUAACCAGCCAGGCUCCUCUGUCCAUGGGAUUCUCCAGGCAAGAAUACUGGAGUGGGUUGCUACACCCUUCAACAGAGGAUCUGCCUGAUCCAGGGAUUGAACCUGGGUCUCCUGCCUCCCAGUUGGAUUCUUUAUGGCUGAGCCACCAGGGAAACCUUUAACACCUGAGUUACCAGGGAAUUCCUACCCUCAGAUGCAGAUUCAAAUGUUGAUUGCUAACCCAACUGAACAUUUCUAGAUACCAACGUUAAGUGAAUGUAGAACUUGUCACCUGAGAAGGAUCCAGAUAAUUCAUGAAACUGCUAAGAGUUUUCACUUGGACAAGAGAAAAUCCUUCCACUGAAUAAAAUGUCUAGCAUGGUGGAGAGCAAA